This 879-nucleotide ribosomal RNA is filed under the name uncultured Hydrogenophaga sp. Its description in RNAcentral is "bacterial SSU rRNA". It matches the Rfam family "Bacterial small subunit ribosomal RNA", at positions 41 to 916 of the family's 1533-position model. The record is from RNAcentral. Lineage: Bacteria; Pseudomonadati; Pseudomonadota; Betaproteobacteria; Burkholderiales; Comamonadaceae.
GGCAUGCUUUACACAUGCAAGUCGAACGGUAACAGGCCGCAAGGUGCUGACGAGUGGCGAACGGGUGAGUAAUGCAUCGGAACGUGCCCAAUCGUGGGGGAUAACGCAGCGAAAGCUGUGCUAAUACCGCAUACGAUCUACGGAUGAAAGCGGGGGACUCGCAAGAGCCUCGCGCGAUUGGAGCGGCCGAUGUCAGAUUAGGUAGUUGGUGGGGUAAAGGCUCACCAAGCCAACGAUCUGUAGCUGGUCUGAGAGGACGACCAGCCACACUGGAACUGAGACACGGUCCAGACUCCUACGGGAGGCAGCAGUGGGGAAUUUUGGACAAUGGGCGCAAGCCUGAUCCAGCAAUGCCGCGUGCAGGAAGAAGGCCUUCAGGUUGUAAACUGCUUUUGUACGGAACGAAACGGUCUGGGUUAAUACCCUGGGCUAAUGACGGUACCGUAAGAAUAAGCACCGGCUAACUACGUGCCAGCAGCCGCGGUAAUACGUAGGGUGCGAGCGUUAAUCGGAAUUACUGGGCGUAAAGCGUGCGCAGGCGGUUUUGUAAGACAGUCGUGAAAUCCCCGGGCUCAACCUGGGAAUGGCGAUUGUGACUGCAAGGCUGGAGUGCGGCAGAGGGGGAUGGAAUUCCGCGUGUAGCAGUGAAAUGCGUAGAUAUGCGGAGGAACACCGAUGGCGAAGGCAAUCCCCUGGGCCUGCACUGACGCUCAUGCACGAAAGCGUGGGGAGCAAACAGGAUUAGAUACCCUGGUAGUCCACGCCCUAAACGAUGUCAACUGGUUGUUGGGUCUCUUCUGACUCAGUAACGAAGCUAACGCGUGAAGUUGACCGCCUGGGGAGUACGGCCGCAAGGUUGAAACUCAAAUGAAUUGACGG